Molecule: ribosomal RNA, 254 nt
Filed under: uncultured bacterium
Lineage: Bacteria
Description: partial 16S ribosomal RNA
Rfam family: Bacterial small subunit ribosomal RNA
Source: RNAcentral
UACGGGGGGGGCAAGCGUUGUUCGGAUUUACUGGGCGUAAAGGGCGCGUAGGCGGCCACGACAAGUCACUUGUGAAAUCUCCGGGCUUAACUCGGAACGGUCAAGUGAUACUGUCGGGCUAGAGUGCAGAAGGGGCAACUGGAAUUCUCGGUGUAGCGGUGAAAUGCGUAGAUAUCGAGAGGAACACCUGCGGCGAAGGCGGCAUCCUGGACCAAUACUGACGCUGAGGAGCGAAAGCCAGGGGAGCAAACGGG